This 472-nucleotide ribosomal RNA is filed under the name uncultured Burkholderia sp. Its description in RNAcentral is "bacterial SSU rRNA". It matches the Rfam family "Bacterial small subunit ribosomal RNA", at positions 488 to 1363 of the family's 1533-position model. Lineage: Bacteria; Pseudomonadati; Pseudomonadota; Betaproteobacteria; Burkholderiales; Burkholderiaceae. The record is from RNAcentral.
AUACCGGCAAAGUACGAACCAGGCGGCCGCGGAAAAACGCCGGGCGCAAGCGUUAAUCGGAAUUACAGGGCGUAAAGCGUGCGCAGGCGGUUCACUAAGACCGAUGUGAAAUCCCCGGGCUUAACCUGGGAACUGCAUUGAUGACUGGCGCACUAGAGUAUGGCAGAGGGGGGUAGAAUUCCACGUGUAGCAGUGAAAUGCCUAGAGAUGUGGAGGAAUACCGAUGGCGAAGGCAGCCCCCUGGGCCAAUACUGACGCUCAUGCACGAAAGCGUGGGGAGCAAACAGGAUUAGAUACCCUGGUAGUCCACGCCCUAAACGAUGUCAACUAGUUGUCGGGUCUUCAUUGACUUGGUAACGAAGCUAACGCGUGAAGUUGACCGCCUGGGGAGUACGGUCGCAAGAUUAAAACUCAAAGGAAUUGACGGAAACUCCAAAGGUUUAAGGAAUUAUAAAACCGCUCUAUGACCGAU